GAUCCCAGGGACGCCCCCACAGGUAGACGAAGAGGGUCCAGAGAAAGGUGGGGAUUCCCUAACCCCUUCUUUCUUGGCACAGACAGGCAGAGAACACCUCUUUUCUCACCCCUGGGCAGCCCCAGGAAGUCAAUCCUUCCACUAUUCCUGCUCCGUGCCUCUCUUCCCUCUGCCCAGAUUCCUGGGAGACUCAAAACCCUGUUCAACUCUCUCUGGGCUAGCUGCUCCCCUCCCCAAGAGGAUUUCUCUCCAGAGCUGGUAUCAUCGCUUAAUGAUGUUCCACCAACAAGGGGAAGAUUCAGCCAUGUCUUCCUAGGAUCCAGCAUCCAAACCUGGACCAAAGUCCUCGGAUCCUCAGCAAUGGGGGUGCAUCUGGUGAUGGUGUUCAUGCUAAAUUUGUGCCAAGAGACACCUGUACUUGUGGGAGAAUUAAUAUUUCACUUCUGUUUAGGUUUCUUUUCUGGGAGCUGCUAUCACUGAAUACAUAAAGAAAUUGAGCCUAUAUGAUUUCAAUCUUCACCUUCUGAUGCUGAUGAAACAGGAUUCUAUGCAGAGAAAAUCCUCUCCAGUCAAGUAAUUGCAUCCAUUUCAUCUUCCCAGCCCUCCUCUAGAUGGGAGGUGGAGGUGUGUGUACCAAUCUCUUAAUUCAGAAAUGAGACAAGAGGAGGAAAAAGGAGUUCCGGAGGACAGUGGGGACCCCAGCCAGAGCCUGGGGACUUGGCUGCCUUGGAACCAGAACCUGGCCCCUCAGAGGAGUUGCAGAAUUUCGAUAGAGGAGUGGCAGGAGGUGUACUGGCUGAAGAGGAGGCCCAAGGAACUCCUUUUCAUACAUCAAAACUGAGCUUAUCACCUCUACCCUGAAGUCAUCCUGGACAUCACUGGUCCCAGUUAAUCACUCACUUAUCUUUGCCAUCCUUGACCUGGGAAGAGAACGUUGCCCUCAUUGGUCUGGAAUCAGCAGGUACCUCAUGGCUGGAGGUGUAUUUUCAGGUGGG
RNAcentral lists this long non-coding RNA (995 nucleotides) under Homo sapiens (human). Its description in RNAcentral is "HSALNT0301108". Lineage: Eukaryota; Metazoa; Chordata; Mammalia; Primates; Hominidae. The record is from RNAcentral.